This is a long non-coding RNA of Pseudoliparis swirei, 509 nucleotides long. RefSeq lists it as uncharacterized. The transcript has 3 exons. The record is from RefSeq and is a predicted model, not a curated record. Lineage: Eukaryota; Metazoa; Chordata; Actinopteri; Perciformes; Liparidae.
GUGAAAAUUGUGAUUCUUAUUCAUUUGACCGCUAUUGUCAGCUUAAUAAAUGUGCUAGAUUCUUCAAAUUGAAUGUUUUUUUAUUUGUUGCUGUUAUUUCAAUGUAGUUGUAUGCAGAGUUCCAGAGGAUAACCAAUCAGAACCUGCCCAACCGAUUCUAUGCUGAGCUUGACCGCCAUCUUCCACGACUAAUGACUUUAUUUAGGCAGAAGGCAUCAAGAACUGGAAAGACAGCAGAUGCUCUGGCUGAAAUUUUAAAAAUCCACGAUGAACAGGAAAACCAGGACACACACCAAACGUACGACUGUUCUCCACGGCCUCCCUGUCUAUCUGUGCGAGGAUGUAUCUGGAUUCUUCAGAACCUGCACAGACGAGUCUGAUGAGCCAGAGCUUGAUGGGGUUGCAGUGGGCCUCCUUACUGUCACCAGUGACAAUAACACAAGUGCAGUUCACUACCACCCUGUGAAAAUCUCUGUGAUUAUUGAAAGUGCUGUCAUGGUUAGUCUCCC